Molecule: ribosomal RNA, 1013 nt
Filed under: Bacillus amyloliquefaciens
Lineage: Bacteria; Bacillati; Bacillota; Bacilli; Caryophanales; Bacillaceae
Description: bacterial SSU rRNA
Rfam family: Bacterial small subunit ribosomal RNA
Source: RNAcentral
AUGCAGUCGAGCGAGACCGAUGGGAGCUUGCUCCCUGAUGUUAGCGGCGGACGGGUGACUAACACGUGGGUAACCUGCCUGUAAGACUGGGUAUAAGCUCCGGGCAAACCGGGGCUAAUACCGGCAUGCUUGUUUGAACCGCAUGGGUCACCACAUAAAAGGUGGCUUCGGCUACCACUUACAGAUGGACCCGCGGCGCAUUACCUAGUUGGUGAGGUAACGGCUCACCAAGGCGACGAUGCGUAACCGACCUGAGAGGGUGAUCGGCCACACUGGGACUGAAACACGGCCCAGACUCCUACGGGAGGCAGCAGUAUGGAAUCUUCCGCAAUGGACGAAAGUCUGACGGAGCAACGCCGCGUGAGUGAUGAAGGUUUUCGGAUCGUAAAGCUCUGUUGUUAGGGAAGAACAAGUGCCGUUCAAAUAGGGCGGCACCUUGACGGUACCUAACCAGAAAGCCACGGCUAACUACGUGCCAGCAGCCGCGGUAAUACGUAGGUGGCAAGCGUUGUCCGGAAUUAUUGGGCGUAAAGGGCUCGCAGGCGGUUUCUUAAGUCUGAUGUGAAAGCCCCCGGCUCAACCGGGGAGGGUCAUUGGAAACUGGGGAACUUGAGUGCAGAAGAGGAGAGUGGAAUUCCACGUGUAGCGGUUAAAUGCGUAGAGAUGUGGAGGAACACCAGUGGCGAARGCGACUCUCUGGUCUGUAACUGACGCUGAGGAGCGAAAGCGUGGGGGAGCGAACAGGAUUAGAUACCCUGGUAGUCCACGCCGUAAACGAUGAGUGCUAAGUGUUAGGGGGGUUUUCCGCCCCUUAGUGCUGCAGCUAACGCAUUAAGCACUCCGCCCUGGGGGAGUACGGUCGCAAGACUGAAACUCAAAGGGAAUUGACCGGGGGCCCGCACAAGCGGUGGAAGCAUGGUGGGUUUAUUUCGAAAGCAACGCGGAGAUCUUACAGGUCUGACAUCUCUGACAUCUAGAGAUAGACGUCCCCUUUCGGGGGGCAGGAGUUGACA